This 28-nucleotide small RNA is filed under the name Bombyx mori (domestic silkworm). RNAcentral's name for it is "ovarian small RNA-25236". The record is from RNAcentral. Lineage: Eukaryota; Metazoa; Arthropoda; Insecta; Lepidoptera; Bombycidae.
UCACGAGGUGAACCGAUAUUAGCCUACC